Molecule: long non-coding RNA, 2336 nt
Filed under: Homo sapiens (human)
Lineage: Eukaryota; Metazoa; Chordata; Mammalia; Primates; Hominidae
Description: Pvt1 oncogene, transcript variant 9 (PVT1)
Rfam family: Pvt1 oncogene conserved region 1 (bases 34-211)
Source: RNAcentral
CCCGCGCUCCUCCGGGCAGAGCGCGUGUGGCGGCCGAGCACAUGGGCCCGCGGGCCGGGCGGGCUCGGGGCGGCCGGGACGAGGAGGGGCGACGACGAGCUGCGAGCAAAGAUGUGCCCCGGGACCCCCGGCACCUUCCAGUGGAUUUCCUUGCGGAAAGGAUGUUGGCGGUCCCUGUGACCUGUGGAGACACGGCCAGAUCUGCCCUCCAGCCUGAUCUUUUGGCCAGAAGGAGAUUAAAAAGAUGCCCCUCAAGAUGGCUGUGCCUGUCAGCUGCAUGGAGCUUCGUUCAAGUAUUUUCUGAGCCUGAUGGAUUUACAGUGAUCUUCAGUGGUCUGGGGAAUAACGCUGGUGGAACCAUGCACUGGAAUGACACACGCCCGGCACAUUUCAGGAUACUAAAAGUGGUUUUAAGGGAGGCUGUGGCUGAAUGCCUCAUGGAUUCUUACAGCUUGGAUGUCCAUGGGGGACGAAGGACUGCAGCUGGCUGAGAGGGUUGAGAUCUCUGUUUACUUAGAUCUCUGCCAACUUCCUUUGGGUCUCCCUAUGGAAUGUAAGACCCCGACUCUUCCUGGUGAAGCAUCUGAUGCACGUUCCAUCCGGCGCUCAGCUGGGCUUGAGCUGACCAUACUCCCUGGAGCCUUCUCCCGAGGUGCGCGGGUGACCUUGGCACAUACAGCCAUCAUGAUGGUACUUUAAGUGGAGGCUGAAUCAUCUCCCCUUUGAGCUGCUUGGCACGUGGCUCCCUUGGUGUUCCCCUUUUACUGCCAGGACACUGAGAUUUGGAGAGAAUCCUGUUACACCUGGGAUUUAGGCACUUUCAAUCUGAAAAAAUACAUAUCCUUUCAGCACUCUGGACGGACUUGAGAACUGUCCUUACGUGACCUAAAGCUGGAGUAUUUUGAGAUUGGAGAAUUAAGGCCUUCAGUGGGUUGAAUGAGGCCCAACCCACAUUGAAGAGGACCAUCUGCUUUACUCAGUCUCCUGGUUGAAGUGAUAAUCUCAUCUGGACAUACUCAGAAAUGCUGUUUAACCAGCUCUCUGGAAAUCCUGUGGCCCAGUCAAGUUGACACACAAAAUUAACCAUCACACUGCAGAGACACAGUCUAUCCCAAUACCUGUAUUUACUGGGUAACGUGCAUCUCAGCUCACCAGGCUGGUUUGAUUGACUUGGCCCAAAGCUGCCCUUUGAGUGUUGAGCCCCAGCUGACCCCUUUGAUCCUUCACAGCCCCAUCAUUAAAACAAGGACCCUGAAUCAAGUGACUAGUGUGGGCACCCUGGCUUCAAGCUCACGAGAAACCAGAAGGAAGUCACUGUGCAUAGCCAUCCCCUAAGAAGAGGGCAUUCCUGCUCUUCCUUCUCCAUGGCUAGAGGAUCUACAUGAACUAUUUAGAUUUUUUCUACCUGGGAGAUUUAACUCCUCUCUCCUAUUUAUUUAUUUAUAUAUCAGCAUGGACUUGCAGGCCAACAGAGAUUUUGAGAAACACAUUGAAGGAUCUGUUAACACUUGAUAUACCCAAUAAAAGCAGUGGUUGUGCCAGUGCUGAUCUGUCUUGAUGUGAAUGUGAACAAUGGGAACCUGAGCUGAGCAGUUAAUGCUAGGGUGACAGAAACUGGACCUCUCCCAAGACAUGUGACAGAGUAAUACAGCAGCCAACUUCUUCGCCAAAUUAAAGUUUUACAAGAUUUAACCUGUCAUCAAGACCUGGGAUUUUGGUGAGCCAGUCUUGGUGCUCUGUGUUCACCUGGUUCAUCUGAGGAGCUGCAUCUACCCUGCCCAUGCCAUAGAUCCUGCCCUGUUUGCUUCUCCUGUUGCUGCUAGUGGACAUGAGGUAACCACAGCCUAGUUCUGUGAUAAGCUCUUCACACCUGUACCCAUAUGGACUGUGGGAGAGUUUCUCUGAUAUGGACUGUGAUGCGGAAGGACAGAAUAACGGGCUCCCAGAUUCACAAGCCCCACCAAGAGGAUCACCCCAGGAACGCUUGGAGGCUGAGGAGUUCACUGAGGCUACUGCAUCUUGAGACUCAGGAUGAAGACCCAGCUUGGGGCUGUCAAAGGUUUUUUGCAUGUCUGACACCCAUGACUCCACCUGGACCUUAUGGCUCCACCCAGAAGCAAUUCAGCCCAACAGGAGGACAGCUUCAACCCAUUACGAUUUCAUCUCUGCCCCAACCACUCAGCAGCAAGCACCUGUUACCUGUCCACCCCCACCCCUUCCCCCAAACUGCCUUUGAAAAAUCCCUAACCUAUGAGCUUUGAAUAAGAUGAGUACGAACUUCAUCGCCCACGUGGCGUGGCCGGCCUCGUGUCUAUUAAAUUCUUUUUCUACUACAA